AAAAUGGCCUUUAUUGGAGGUAGUCAGGAAAAUGUGGCCCUCUAAUGGGAGGAAAAUUAACAUUAUGUCUAUGGGGAAAAUUUUCGUUCCUCAAAAUAUUGGCCCUUAAUAGAGGUGGCCCUUAAGUAGAGGUGGCCUUUAGGAGAAGUUUCACUGUAUUA
Parasteatoda tepidariorum (common house spider) is the source of this 161-nucleotide non-coding RNA. NCBI's taxonomy places the organism in Eukaryota, Metazoa, Arthropoda, Arachnida, Araneae, Theridiidae. The record is from RefSeq and is a predicted model, not a curated record.